AGAGCGAACGCUGGCGGCAGGCUUAACACAUGCAAGUCGAACGCCCGGGCAACCGGGAGUGGCAGACGGGUGAGUAACACGUGGGAACAUGCCCUUCGGUUCGGAAUAACUCGGGGAAACUCGUGCUAAUACCGGAUACGUCCGUAAGGAGAAAGAUUUAUCGCCGAAGGAUUGGCCCGCGUCCGAUUAGCUAGUUGGUGGGGUAAAGGCCCACCAAGGCGACGAUCGGUAGCUGGUCUGAGAGGAUGAUCAGCCACACUGGGACUGAGACACGGCCCAGACUCCUACGGGAGGCAGCAGUGGGGAAUAUUGGACAAUGGGCGCAAGCCUGAUCCAGCCAUGCCGCGUGAGUGAUGAAGGCCCUAGGGUUGUAAAGCUCUUUCGGCGGGGAAGAUAAUGACGGUACCCGCAGAAGAAGCCCCGGCUAACUUCGUGCCAGCAGCCGC
This 446-nucleotide ribosomal RNA is filed under the name uncultured bacterium. RNAcentral's name for it is "SSU rRNA". It matches the Rfam family "Bacterial small subunit ribosomal RNA", at positions 26 to 518 of the family's 1533-position model. The record is from RNAcentral.